Rattus norvegicus (Norway rat) is the source of this 5355-nucleotide non-coding RNA. The record is from RefSeq and is a predicted model, not a curated record. NCBI's taxonomy places the organism in Eukaryota, Metazoa, Chordata, Mammalia, Rodentia, Muridae.
CUCACGUGUGAGAACUGGACAUGCGCAGUGCGGUUCACGCAUUAAACAUCUCCAUAGCAACAAGAGUAGUAGCGCUAAAGCAGGUUAGGCCCAGGGGCUAGCAGGGGCAGGGGUGCUGAAGGAGUGUGCACUGUAGAGUUUUGGAUAGUGAAAAGCAUUUGGAGAGGGAUGACGGCGAUGGUGGAUGCACCUUCUGCCCCUGGAUGGGCUAGCUCAUGGUCAAGUACAUGGAAAAUGUCGUUACAUUUAGACAUAGCCAUCCAAUGUUCCGUAGAACAAGGAUAAUAUAAGUAGCGGUCAGUAUGCCGUCUUGCUGGUCCAAGGCCCUCAACAGAAAUCACUAGAAGCUCACUAGAAGCUAGAAGGGAUACGUCAUUCCUCAAACAGUCUACGUUAACGAUGUCAUUCUCAAAGCCUGCCCAAGGGAACGUAUGUCCAAUACCAGCAGACCAAAGUCGCUCCUACCCUAGAUGUCCUGUGCUGACCUGUAUAGCACUAAGGCCACGGGCCACCCAGAUGACCAACCCUCUAGGGAGAGACUGCCCUACUGCGCUCCUCUCGGCCAGCUCUACGUAAAGAGCCAAGGCCUGGAUGCUGGCCUACCCACCAGCCAGACGAAACGGAAUCUAAGACUGGCUGAACUUAUGGGAACCCUGUCGUGCAGAGUUUUCCAGCUUUGAGAGAGAAGCUGACCCACUUUGGCUCUGCUGCUAUCCCUGAGCUGGAGGAGAGAUUCAUUCAUGCACUCAGCCAGACAUUGGAUGGACCAGCAGACAAGUUACCAGCCUGGUUGGAUCUUAUACUGAAGCAGGGGAAUGGCGAAGCAGAAACCCUUCAGAGAAAACAGUCAUUGUGAAAGCAAACCUCCCGUGCUAUGAACGUGCUAUGAACGUGCUAUGAACCUGCUGGCCGUCUGCUCUGGCUUUGGCAAAUGGGGAAAGCUUCCACCAGGUGGGACCUGGGCAGAAAGGAGGACUCACACAAUCUGUCUGACAGCUCGGAUCCAAAGGCGUUUGAGCCUGUGGAGAAGGGAGCUCCUGUUGCAGGGAGUCAAGAUGAAAGGGGCCCUGAGAUUGGAGACAAGGAGACAGGCUUCCAGAGGACAUGUCAGAGCUUCUCUCCUGGAUGCUAGCAGGCAGCACUGGGUCCUAAGCACCGAGGCUGUGGGGCUGCUCCAAGGCCUGUCUGCACAUCACCAUGGCGAUUCCCUUCCUUGGGAAACAACUACGUUUGUUUUCUUUUCCAUAUUCUGGACGGAGGCCAUUUGAUAAUUACAAAAUGUACAACCCAUAAUGUGUCCUAAACUGUCUUUGAAUAGUAUGUGGUUUUGAAAUAAUACAUAAAAAGCUUAAUAAAAAUUAAUGUGUUAAAGAGACUCAUCAGCCUCAGUUGGAAAUAAAAUCGGUAUUAAUUAUUGCCCACAGUCACUCUGAUGAGCUAGGGAUGGCGGGACCAUUUCCUCCAUGUAGUAAGGAAACUUGGAAACACCUGCCACUCUGCCCUUCAAGUCCCCAGAGCCCAAGUUCUCAGCAGCGCAGUCCUGUGUAUCAUGGUUCCUCCCUAGGGUUCCCUAUGCAGUCUGUGUUGGAUCCCAGGGAAAGAAAUGUAUGAGGGUGGAGCUUGACAAGGGACACCUGACUGUGAGGGUGGAGCUUCACGUGGAAUUUACAACUAUGGGGGUGGAGCUUGACAAGGGGACCUGUGACUAUGAGGAAGGAGCUUCACAUUGGGACACGUGACUAUGAGGAUAAAGCUUGACAUAGGACACAUCACUAUGAGGGCAGAACUUGGCAGAGGGGGUGAAGCUCGACACUGGGACAUGUGAUUAUGAGGGAGGAGCGUCACAUUGGGACACGUGACUAUGGGGAGGAGCUUCACAUCAGACACGUGACUAUGAGGGCGGAGCCUGACAUAGGACGCAUCACUAUGAGGGCAGAACUUGGCAGAGGGGGUGAAGCUCGACACUGGGACAUGUGAUUAUGAGGGAGGAGCGUCACAUUGGGACACGUGACUAUGGGGAGGAGCUUCACACCAGACACGUGACUAUGAGGGCGGAGCCUGACAUAGGACACAUCACCGUAAGGGCAGAACUUGGCAGUGGGGGCGAAGCUCGACACUGGGACAUGUGACUAUUUAGGCAGAGCUUGACAUGGGACACAUCACUCUCUGCUGGAGUAUCCUUGAGAGACUCAUAUCUUUGGACACAGCAGUCCCCAGGAGCUAGCCUGAACCUCAAACCUUGCUUGAGCGUGGAGUUGUAGAACAACAGAGCAGCAGGUGACAAAUCCCCCACCAUCCGUGACCACAGCCCUGUUGUGUUUCCGGGUAGCUCAGCUAGGAAGCGGGAAGCCACAGUUCUGGUCAGUCCGCACCCAAGAAAGCUUUCAGACCAAGAAGGUCAAUCAAUGGGCUGCUGUGUGCCGUGGAAACUGUCACAGCCAUCCAUAAAGGCCUGGGUUCUGGAAUUCCUGCCCCUUCCCCACUGCAGCGGGGUCCCUGGACUAUAUCCCCAAGCAUCCAGCACUCUGUUUCCUCAUCUGUACGACAGAUUGCCUGUCUUGCGGGAUUGGAGGAAGCAACCGAUUUAGAUGAUUCACUCAAGAGCCAAGUACAGGGUAAAUGAUAAUAUACGUUAUCAAGCGAGAGGAGAUGGUACUGGUUAUGGUGAUGAGGCUGGAGAUAAAGAUGAUAAGAGAUAACGAUGGAGAUGACGGUGGUGAUGAUGCUGAUAUGCUGAUGGGGCAGAGAUGAUGGUGAUGAUGGUAACAGGGAUGCUGAUGCUGGCAGUAAUGACGAUGACAGAAGUGAUGGUGAUGAUGCCGGAGAGGAUGUGUUGAUGACAUCAGUGACCAACAGGGACCGGAUGACGAUGGUAGUACUAUGACAGUGACAAUGGCGUUGGAACAGUUAAAGCUAUGGUGGUGACAACCACAGUGACCGUGAUGAGAGAGAUGAAGAUGGCGGCUGUGACCACAGUCAUCAUGAUGAAGACCAUGGGAUGCGCUCUCUGGCUUAUGGGCAAAAUGUGAUCCGGAUGGCCAAACGCUCGAGGGCUCGGAGCCCAUACCCUCAAGCCAGAGCUCAGCUCCCUCCCUCCCAGUCCUGCAGGCUCAGCAGAUGCAAUCUUGAAUCCUUAUUCAUCAAAGAGAAGGUCAGAGGGAGAGCCCCUCCCUGCACUGGCUCAUAUCCAGACACCUCUCUCCAGUCACCCCAUCCACAGGCAUCCGCUGCCGGCCCUGUCAGGAAGGUCCUGCGCCAUCCCUGUUCCAGAAUCCUAACUGCACUAUCCCCGUCCAGAAUCCCUAUCUGCUGGGCCAGCUGUUUGCAUCCUGCCUUUGGUGGGAAUCCAUCCCUUUGGACUAAAUACCACCGCACACAAAACGCUUCGUGGCUUCUCUGGAGAAAAGGAGGUGCCAUGGGAAACCGCCAUGGUAGACACUGCUCAUUAUCUGGGUUAUUUUUGUUGCAACCAACACAACCUAGGCAUAAACAAAACAGCAUAGAGUCCUAGGAGCCAAGCCGGAAUCCCCACAGGCACGCUCCAAGUAAUCCGAUGCGCUGCGCAGGACUUAGUGCAAAAACCUCAUGCUCAGCCACGGGGUCUCCAGAAGACCAGUGAGUAGGGGCAGGGUCUGUCUGUGAAGCAGUGUCUCCACCGGCCCAUCGCUUCACAGUGUUACACUUCUGACCGCCAGAGUUCCAAGCCUGCUUGCUUGGCACUGAGAUCCUAAGCCCAUCCUUCUGAACCGGAAAGAUCCAGUGUUAACCGUCACUUCACACUCCGGGAAGGGGGGGAAAACCCAGUCCACUCAUAUCUGGCUCAGAAAAGCCUUGGAAAAGUUUACUUUUUUGUAAAUGUUUUCUUUACCGAAGCCAAAUCCCAGAGCUGAUGCGAUGUGCGGUGGAUUAGACAAUUAAAGCAGGCGCACAGAAUACAAAUCUGAGUUUGCUCAGCUGGGUCGAGAGGAUCUCGCCAUUUCCUUCCUCCCCCAAGUCAAUUUACUCAGAGAGCGGCCUUCUCUCCAGAUAAGCACAUUGACUUUAAAAUAACGUGCGUGCCAACAGCUGCAGCCCUACGACAGAGCAGACAGAGCCGUGGCAGCGAAUGAUAAUUAAAUAUAUUUUCAUCAUCCGUCAUUUCUCCUUUUUUUUUCUGCAGGUGCCAGGGUAAUAAAUCUGAACUCGCCUCUCUUGUCAGCUGGCAGUGAACACAUUUUAACUUGAGAUCUCUUGGGAGGAAUUAAGAGUCAGUUGGCCUUGUAAAGGAGAAAGGGUUUUUACUUCCAAACUGCCAAGUGGGGAGCUCACAGCUGAUUGGUUUCAUGAUACUUUAUUAUUUGACAAUAUAUACGCGUCAGGUUUGUAUUUCAGAGCACCACACCUACAGGAUAACCAGGGCUCCAAGAGAUCCAUCACCGGAUUCCAGAAUAAAAACCAAUUUGAGAAGAUUUUCACCAUGAUUUCUUUUUAUGAAUCCCAGAUUUAAUGUAUUAUUGACUUAGGUUUAUUCCAAUAUUUUGGAACUUUUUCAGCGUUCUUUAAAUCCCCCCACAGCCCUUUUACUCCUUGUAGCAAGCACAUCACGGGCAAAGCUGUUGCCGGUGCCCCUGCAGCCUGAGCUAAGUGCUUUCGAUUGGGCCCGAGGAGUUUGGUUGACUUUUUAUUUUGACGGUUUAACGGCUCCUUCUCCCCAGGGGCAGCCUCGUGUAUGCAGUCCUCGAGAAAGCCCUGAUGGAGCAGCACCUCAGCUUCCUCAGCCUUUUCGCCCUCUCCCAGCGACAGGUCCUCUGCAAAAUACCUUCGCUUAAGGGCUAGCCAGGCUAAAGCCACCAGGGAAAGCAGAGAAGUCUCAGGGGAGGCGGGGACUGGCAGAGGGUGGUGAGGCCCCAGGUGGUCCCUGCCCAUCAUGAACCAGUCCUGACUGGCAGUGAGAGGUUUGCCAGCUCCGCCUACCACACCCAGCGUUUCCAAGCUUACUUUCCCCCUCUUAACUUUCCGGAAAGGAAACCCUCAUCUUGACCUCACCCACGUGAAUCCUUGAUCACUAAUGCCUAAGACUGGUGACGUGAGAAAGGUGAAGAGGAAGGCUUUGAACAUGGUUUCCUUGGAAGAGAAGACGCGAUUUCAUCAAGCUAUGACCAAGGUCCUCGAACGAUGGGAAGAAACGCCCCGCCCACUCCUCAUGUGACAGGAAAGAAAGGAAUCCAAACCGACUACAGAGCUAAGCUGAAAAUAAACUUCCACUUGCUGCUAAGGCUGAAGGCCUGAGUUCAACAUUGUUGUCCUCUGAAUGUGCGCAGGUGCACAGGCCCUCACACGCAAAUAAAUGUAAUAAAACGUAAAAUUGAAAACAAA